Lotus japonicus is the source of this 291-nucleotide long non-coding RNA. RefSeq lists it as uncharacterized. Lineage: Eukaryota; Viridiplantae; Streptophyta; Magnoliopsida; Fabales; Fabaceae. The record is from RefSeq and is a predicted model, not a curated record. The transcript has 3 exons.
UGAUUGGUAAAACUCUCUUAGACCAUAACCACUCCAUUUUUCAUUUGCCUGAGUUUGAAUCCUGUCUGCUACCAUUAUUUUUUCCAGGAAAAACUGUAAGCAGUGUUGUGGCUCAAGAUUCCUAGUCUGGCUAUCUUUGAUUAUAAGAUAUACUGAUGACACUAAGGAGUUGAACCAAAUCCUGAAAAUAGCAGGCUUGAUAAGAACCAGAUGGAUGGGAGACAUAAUUUAGGUGAGUGAAGAAGUGGAGCGUGCUUUGGCGAAAUUGGGGCAUGCUAAAUUGACGGUAAG